RNAcentral lists this ribosomal RNA (245 nucleotides) under uncultured bacterium. RNAcentral describes it as "partial 16S ribosomal RNA". It matches the Rfam family "Bacterial small subunit ribosomal RNA", at positions 524 to 768 of the family's 1533-position model. The record is from RNAcentral.
UACAGAGGGUGCGAGCGUUAAUCGGAAUUACUGGGCGUAAAGCGCGCGUAGACGGUUUUGUAAGUCAGAUGUGAAAUCCCCGGGCUCAACCUGGGAACUGCAUUUGAUACUGCAUGGCUAGAGUACGGUAGAGGGAAGCGGAAUUUCCGGUGUAGCGGUGAAAUGCGUAGAUAUCGGAAGGAACACCAGUGGCGAAAGCGGCUUCCUGGACCAGUACUGACGUUCAUGUGCGAAAGCGUGGGGAG